GUUCGAACCAAAAAAGCACUUCUUACACAUGCAUUUUUCAGGACAGACUCUGAACAAAUUAGGAGUUUCAAUAUCAAAGAUAUAAUCCAUGUAGCAGCGGAUGCAUUAAGGGAAAUACAUCUGCAAUAGCACCUCUGCUUUCCCCAUUAUCAGAGCAAUUUAAGUACGUACUUUCAAUAAUUCAUCGGAAGAUAAUGAUUUUACGGACAACAAACUCCUAUAUACCAAAUUUCAA
This 235-nucleotide unclassified non-coding RNA is filed under the name Hevea brasiliensis (rubber tree). Lineage: Eukaryota; Viridiplantae; Streptophyta; Magnoliopsida; Malpighiales; Euphorbiaceae. The record is from RNAcentral.